RNAcentral lists this ribosomal RNA (1005 nucleotides) under uncultured bacterium. RNAcentral's name for it is "bacterial SSU rRNA". It matches the Rfam family "Bacterial small subunit ribosomal RNA", at positions 356 to 1376 of the family's 1533-position model. The record is from RNAcentral.
GGGGAAUAUUGGGCAAUGGGGGAAACCCUGACCCAGCAACGCCGCGUGAAGGAAGAAGGUCUUCGGAUCGUAAACUUCUAUCCUCGGUGAAGAGGAGAAGACGGUAGCCGAGAAGGAAGCCCCGGCUAACUACGUGCCAGCAGCCGCGGUAAUACGUAGGGGGCAAGCGUUGUCCGGAAUGAUUGGGCGUAAAGGGCGUGUAGGCGGCUAAGUAAGUCUGGAGUGAAAGUCCUGCUUUUAAGGUGGGAAUUGCUUUGGAUACUGCAUAGCUAGAGUGCAGGAGAGGUAAGUGGAAUUCCCAGUGUAGCGGUGAAAUGCGUAGAGAUUGGGAGGAACACCAGUGGCGAAGGCGACUUACUGGACUGUAACUGACGCUGAGGCGCGAAAGUGUGGGGAGCAAACAGGAUUAGAUACCCUGGUAGUCCACACUGUAAACGAUGAAUGCUAGGUGUAGGAGGUAUCGACCCCUUCUGUGCCGGAGUAAACACAAUAAGCAUUCCGCCUGGGGAGUACGGCCGCAAGGUUGAAACUCAAAGGAAUUGACGGGGGCCCGCACAAGCAGCGGAGCAUGUGGUUUAAUUCGAAGCAACGCGAAGAACCUUACCAGGUCUUGACAUCCAGUAAAGCCUGUAGAGAUACAGAGUCCCUUCGGGGGUACUGAGACAGGUGGUGCAUGGUUGUCGUCAGCUCGUGUCGUGAGAUGUUGGGUUAAGUCCCGCAACGAGCGCAACCCUUAUGAUUAGUUACUAACGGGUAAAGCCGAGGACUCUAAUGAGACUGCCGGGGACAACUCGGAGGAAGGUGGGGACGACGUCAAAUCAUCAUGCCCCUUAUGACCUGGGCUACACACGUGCUACAAUGGCCACUACAAAGAGGAGCGAGCCCGUAAGGGGGAGCGGAUCUCAAAAAAGUGGUCCCAGUUCGGAUUGUGGGCUGCAACCCGCCCACAUGAAGUCGGAGUUGCUAGUAAUCGCGGAUCAGCAUGCCGCGGUGAAUACGUUCCCG